AUACGUAGGGAGCGAGCGUUGUCCGGAAUUACUGGGCGUAAAGGGCGCGUAGGCGGCGCUUCAAGUCGUCUGUCAAAUGGAAGGGCUUAACCCUUUUUCGCAGACGAAACUGGAGAGCUUGAGAAGCAGAGAGGCAAACAGAAUUCCUGGUGUAGCGGUGAAAUGCGUAGAUAUCAGGAAGAAUACCAGUGGCGAAGGCGGUUUGCUGGCUGCAUACUGACGCUGAAGCGCGAAAGCCAGGGGAGCGAACGGGAUUAGAUACCCCGGUAGUCCUGGCAGUAAACGAUGUAUGCUGGGUGUGAGACUAGCGAUAGUUUCGUGCCGAAGUUAACGCGAUAAGCAUACCGCCUGGGGAGUACGGUCGCAAGAUUGAAACUCAAAUGAAUUGACGGG
This 393-nucleotide ribosomal RNA is filed under the name uncultured bacterium. Its description in RNAcentral is "partial 16S ribosomal RNA". It matches the Rfam family "Bacterial small subunit ribosomal RNA", at positions 523 to 917 of the family's 1533-position model. The record is from RNAcentral.